RNAcentral lists this ribosomal RNA (405 nucleotides) under uncultured bacterium. RNAcentral's name for it is "partial 16S ribosomal RNA". It matches the Rfam family "Bacterial small subunit ribosomal RNA", at positions 28 to 526 of the family's 1533-position model. The record is from RNAcentral.
GAUGAACGCUGACAGCAUGCUUAACACAUCAGCAAUUGAUUGGUGGCGGACGGGCGAGUAACGCGUAAAGAACUUACCUCACAGUUAGGGACAACAUUUGGAAACGAAUGCUACUACUUAAUACUGUGAGAGAGCUUGGGGUCCCAUUAGCUAGUUGGAGAGGUAACGGCUCACCAAGCGAUGAUGGGUAGCCGGCCUGAGAGGGUGAUCGGCCACAAAGGGACUGGGACACGGGCCUUACGCCUACGGGCGGCAGGAGUGGAGGAUAUUGGACAAUGGACCAAAGUCUGAUCCAGCAAUUCUGUGUGCACGAUGAAGUUUUCGGAAUGUAAAGUGCUUUCAGUAGGGAAGCGGUACCAACAGAAGAAGUAACGGCUAAAUACGUGCCAGCAGCCGCGGUAAUAC